UGCAGAUUUACUCUGAACUGGAAGCCGUCUUAUAAAAAAGAUGAUGUGCAGGAGUAAAAAGCUAUUGUGAAGGGAAAAGUGAGGUUCAAGAUAAAGUACAGUGGUUCUACAAGGCAGCAUUAGGGACAGUCUCUGAAGAAACCUUUAAUUGGUGGUAUCUGGUGCCAUAAGUUAUUCUUCAGUCUAUUCAUUGUGGAGCUUUCCAUCCUGUUUGUGCUCAGUGAUAAAUAAAGUGGCCUCUGCUUUAUGAAUGGCUAUAAUUAAUUGGAGCUGAAGGAAUAAACAGCAUAGAAACCAGAUCACAGGAUCACAGGAGGGUGAGGGAAGAAGGGGAAGACACUCACUCAUUGAAAAGGAUCCAUUGACAUCAUCUCUUCCUGACCUGAAACACAUCAUACCAACUGAGGAUAAUGUGACCUUCAAACUCUGGCAUGGCACAGAAAAAGGCAUUCCAUGUUGGUCUUUAGGAAUCUUCUCCCCAAGAAGAAAAAGGUCAGUUAUAAAGACAUCCUUCCAGAAGAGAGGAACAUUCUGGAUCCUGCUCAGGGAGAAAGAUGAAGAUCUAGCUGAAUAUAGAAGUAAGAGGGACCAUAGCCAUACAGGCCAGGCUUCCUAACCACUGUGUUCAGGGUCUGUGUUCUAUGUGUUAACUGUGUUCUAUGACAUCUCAUGAGGAAGAGAACAAAGAAAUAAUGUUCAGACCAGUGAUACUUUUCCCAUUAAAUUAUUCCCAUUAAAGUCUUGUAUGUAUCAAAUAAAUGCAAUACUUUUCCAGAU
This is a long non-coding RNA of Sarcophilus harrisii (Tasmanian devil), 777 nucleotides long. RefSeq lists it as uncharacterized. Lineage: Eukaryota; Metazoa; Chordata; Mammalia; Dasyuromorphia; Dasyuridae. The transcript has 2 exons. The record is from RefSeq and is a predicted model, not a curated record.